RNAcentral lists this ribosomal RNA (253 nucleotides) under uncultured bacterium. RNAcentral's name for it is "partial 16S ribosomal RNA". It matches the Rfam family "Archaeal small subunit ribosomal RNA", at positions 474 to 727 of the family's 1478-position model. The record is from RNAcentral.
UACCUGCAGCCCGAGUGGUGCUCGUUAUUAUUGGGUCUAAAUCGUCCGUAGUCGGUUGAGUAGAUGCCCGGGUAAAUCGCAGCGCUUAACGUUGCGAAUUCCGGGUAGACCGCUCGACUAGGGAUUGGGAGAGGUGCAAGGUACUUCGAGGGUAGGGGUAAAAUCCUGUAAUCCUCGGGGGACCACCAGUGGCGAAGGCGUUGCACUAGAACAAGUCCGACGAUCAGGGACGAAGCCCUGGGGCGCAAACGGG